GACGAACGCUGGCGGCGUGCCUAAUACAUGCAAGUAGAACGCUGAAGGAGGAGCUUGCUCUUCUGGAUGAGUUGCGAACGGGUGAGUAACGCGUAGGUAACCUGCCCGGUAGCGGGGGAUAACUAUUGGAAACGAUAGCUAAUACCGCAUAACAGUAGAUGUUGCAUGACAUUUACUUAAAAGGUGCAAUUGCAUCACUACCAGAUGGACCUGCGUUGUAUUAGCUAGUUGGUGGGGUAACGGCUCACCAAGGCGACGAUACAUAGCCGACCUGAGAGGGGGAUCGGCCACACUGGGACUGAGACACGGCCCAGACUCCUACGGGAGGCAGCAGUAGGGAAUCUUCGGCAAUGGACGGAAGUCUGACCGAGCAACGCCGCGUGAGUGAAGAAGGUUUUCGGAUCGUAAAGCUCUGUUGUAAGAGAAGAACGAGUGUGAGAGUGGAAAGUUCACACUGUGACGGUAUCUUACCAGAAAGGGACGGCUAACUACGUG
This 495-nucleotide ribosomal RNA is filed under the name uncultured bacterium. Its description in RNAcentral is "partial 16S ribosomal RNA". It matches the Rfam family "Bacterial small subunit ribosomal RNA", at positions 28 to 507 of the family's 1533-position model. The record is from RNAcentral.